GCUGAGGUCAGAGCCCAGAGUAUAGAGCCUCUGGCAGGAACAAGGCUUUCAGUCCUGGCUGUGUACAUCUGGAUAAUCUGAAGAAAGUCCCGACUCCUGAGUGGAUGGAAGAAACCUCCAGGAACCUCAAGGUGCAUCUAUUAUGGGCCCAGAAGCAGGCAACACCCAGAUGAGACAGCCAUCACAAGAUUCCAGAUAAGGGCUGAAUAUGUCAUCUUAGUUGUUUUUUUUCCUCUUCUCUUUUGUAUGUGCCCCACCAUCAAGGCCCUGAUAUGUGUGUGUUGGCAUUUUCUCACUCUACAUUCUUGUCCCCCCGCCCCAAUUAUUUUCUGCUUGCAAGCAAACAACGGCUAAUAAUGAUACCUAAUAGAUACCCUGAAGGAACUGACUCCCUGGACAAUAUAUUGUCUUGGCCCAACUGGUCUCUUGUGGCAUCUUGGUUUAUACCUGCCUCUCCUUUAUUGGCCAGAAGGGUAAAGGUUCUUUCAUCCCCCCCUACCUUUGGUCAAAAAAGGGAAAUGACAAAAUAUUAGGAGACACCCUGUUUUCGAGAGCUAAGGACCAGCAGGCAAGCUGUGUCCUGAACUUGGCAAGACAAUAAUCCUUUGUGAUUACCCUCUAAAUGAUCUCACCCUCUGGCAAAAUCACAUAAUUCUCAAGGUAUUCUCUAAACUGGAAGAGCACUGGACAGACACAGAAAAUUCUGCAAUGAAUCAACUUGUCACAUUCUUGCUGUUACCCCUCAUUGUCAGGGAUACAGCUCACUGUACAGCUUUUAAUAUAAGUAUUGAGAUUUCCCCACACUGCCUCUCCCCCUUCCCACUAUGGACCUGGCCCCCAGUACAUGCUUGCAAGCCAUUUUCUUCACUUUGAAAAUAAAACUUCUUUUUAAUUCCUGAA
This is a long non-coding RNA of Dromiciops gliroides (monito del monte), 900 nucleotides long. RefSeq lists it as uncharacterized. The transcript is spliced from 2 exons. The record is from RefSeq and is a predicted model, not a curated record. NCBI's taxonomy places the organism in Eukaryota, Metazoa, Chordata, Mammalia, Microbiotheria, Microbiotheriidae.